Molecule: ribosomal RNA, 442 nt
Filed under: uncultured bacterium
Lineage: Bacteria
Description: partial 16S ribosomal RNA
Rfam family: Bacterial small subunit ribosomal RNA
Source: RNAcentral
CCUACGGGGGGCAGCAGUGGGGAAUAUUGGGCAAUGGGCGCAAGCCUGACCCAGCAACGCCGCGUGAAGGAAGAAGGCUUUCGGGUUGUAAACUUCUUUUGACAGGGAAGAGUAGAAGACGGUACCUGUCGACUAAGCCACGGCUAACUACGUGCCAGCAGCCGCGGUAAUACGUAGGUGGCAAGCGUUGUCCGGAUUUACUGGGUGUAAAGGGCGUGUAGCCGGGUUGACAAGUCAGAUGUGAAAUCCUGCGGCUUAACCGCAGAACUGCAUUUGAAACUGUUAAUCUUGAGUACUGGAGAGGCAGACGGAAUUCCUGGUGUAGCGGUGAAAUGCGUAGAUAUUAGGAAGAACACCAGUGGCGAAGGCAGUCUGCUGGACAGCAACUGACGGUGAGGCGCGAAAGCGUGGGGAGCAAACAGGAUUAGAUACCCCAGUAGUC